RNAcentral lists this ribosomal RNA (420 nucleotides) under uncultured bacterium. RNAcentral's name for it is "bacterial SSU rRNA". It matches the Rfam family "Bacterial small subunit ribosomal RNA", at positions 356 to 773 of the family's 1533-position model. The record is from RNAcentral.
AAGGAAUAUUGGUCAAUGGAGGGAACUCUGAACCAGCCAUCCCGCGUGCAGGAUGAAGGCGCUAUGCGUUGUAAACUGCUUUUGUCCCUGGCGAAAAAGCCCUCUGCGGAGGGCACUGACGGUAAGGGAAGAAUAAGCACCGGCUAACUCCGUGCCAGCAGCCGCGGUAAUACGGAGGGUGCAAGCGUUAUCCGGAAUCACUGGGUUUAAAGGGUGCGUAGGCGGUUAGAUAAGUCAGUGGUGAAAGCUUUCAGCUUAACUGGGAAAUUGCCAUUGAUACUGUUUAACUUGAAUCGAGUAGAGGUAGGCGGAAUGUGACGUGUAGCGGUGAAAUGCUUAGAUAUGUCAUAGAACACCGAUUGCGAAGGCAGCUUACUAUAGUCGUAUUGACGCUGAGGCACGAAAGCGUGGGGAUCAAAC